AUACGUAGGGGGCGAGCGUUGUCCGGAAUUAUUGGGCGUAAAGGGCGUGUAGGCGGCCUCACAAGUCAGGGGUGAAACCCCGGGGCUCAACCCCGGGCAUGCCUCUGAAACUGCGGGGCUUGAGUGCUCUAGAGGGCAGUGGAAUUCCCGGUGUAGCAGUGAAAUGCGUAGAGAUCGGGAGGAACACCAGUGGCGAAGGCGGCUGCCUGGGGAGUAACUGACGCUGAGGCGCGAAAGCUAGGGGAGCAAACAGGAUUAGAUACCCUGGUAGUCCUAGCCGUAAACGAUGAGUGCUAUGUGUGAGGGGUAUCGACCCCCCUCGUGCAGCAGUUAACGCAAUAAGCACUCCGCCUGGGGAGUACGGCCGCAAGGUUGAA
RNAcentral lists this ribosomal RNA (377 nucleotides) under uncultured bacterium. Its description in RNAcentral is "bacterial SSU rRNA". It matches the Rfam family "Bacterial small subunit ribosomal RNA", at positions 523 to 898 of the family's 1533-position model. The record is from RNAcentral.